CAAUUCACUGGGCAUCCUGUGUGUUUUCAUAACACACCACCAAUUCCUGUCAAAAAUCAAUAGCUCACUGAGGAGUAGCAGACUACUGAGCUGCCCAGGCUAGCACCUGCUCUGCAAUAUUUCUCAGCUAGCAAGAGACAGGAAAGCAUUAGAGGAAUCAAACCCACAGCACAGAGGUGCUCAGGGACUUAAGGACUCCCGAAAUUCCUCCAUGUGAGGUAGCAACUUGUUUUAGUCCAGGGUGUAAGGAGUUCCUGCAAGCAGUGCUGCCUUCUUGGACUGGUUCAAGGACAAAAAAAAAAAAAGUUAAAAGAUUUUCUGUGGAAUAGAAUAUUUGGACUUUGAGUUGCAAACACAAGCAUGACACAGAUCAUAAAACAUGAAAUAAGGUAGCUCUGCUCUCUUCUGCACAGUGGGGCAAGGCAUUUAACCUGUCGUAAAUCCUGUCCACUCCCUCCUUGUCUUUUCUGUUUAUACAUGGAGUUAAAGCAUCCUUAAGCCUCUUACUACUCUACCACUCUCCUGAUUACAGCCGCAUCUAACACUGAACUUGAAGCACACACCUGUACGAAUUCAUGAGAAAAAACUUUGCAUUACAUGGAAAAAAAAGAGUCAUAUGCAGAAAAGGAAAAAGGAAAGUGCCACCCUUCAAACUGAAGAAAGUUUUGGCCCGUGAGCUGCUGAAAAAAGACACACAGAUGUGUGAACUGCAACCCCUCUCCUGCAGCACUUUGUAAAGCAAGUGAGCAGUCCCAGGCAGGAGGAGGCUUUCUGCAUUUUGAACGGGCCAAGGUGAGGAGUCGUGCAGGGCAGAGCACCCUGAGAAAUUGGACCUCGUGACCUGGACUUGCACAUCCAUGAGCAGAGACAUGGGAAAUGCUGCCUUUCUGGAGCUGAAGUGGGGAGGGGAGUGCUGGAAGCUGCAGACAGGAAGAGCCUGACUUGGGAAAAGCAAAGCAGGAUCUUAGGGUGAAGCCCAUGGGACCUGUCCCAGAUGGGAAGUGGAAGGUGGAUCUCCUCAGGUGGUGAGCUAAGCUGAAAUAGCUAGGCUGAAGGAUCAGCCCCUUGGGAGGAGACCUGGCGAGCAAGAAAGAAGAAUGUGAGGGUUUUGUCUUGUAGCUUCCUGCCAAAAACUGGCAUGGCUGUAAACACAAGUGCAGAACAAUAAGGUCUCCUGUCCCAGCAGCUGCUAAAGCCGUCACCUGGGAAGCUUCCUGCAAUCAGCCACUGGAAGGACAAAAAGGAGCUCCCACAUGCUUUCCUGCAAUUUGUCAUAUGUCUGAUCUCUGCUCUGCUCAGUCUCUAUCAUCCUCCCUUCCCCCAGAGCCCUGUCUCACGCUCCAACAAGAGGAUGUGGUUAUGAAGGCCAACCUCUGGUUAGGAGGAGCAGUCUCAUUGUUCAACCUUGCUUCUCCAAGCAGCAAGAAGUGCUUUUCUUUAUGACUUCUGAGUCACCCUAUAGUUUCUCCACAGAAAGUAUUUCCCCUGGGCUGGUUCUUCAGGCACUGGGUGAACUUCCCUGGUGCCCCAGAGAGUUCCAUAGCACUCUGCAGAUCCUCUCUGCCUGCCACGUGUUGCAGCUUCAGGGCUUACAGUGACCAGAGUUGGCACAAUGCUGCCACCGGCUUCUUUUUCAGACCACUGCACCUUUCCAAGGCGUUAAUCUCUGGGUCUGAACACUGCCAUGCUGGAUCUCUCCUCCUGGGUAAGUAUUUUUAGAAAGUUUGAGCUCAGACCAUGCAGUCACUCCUGAGCUAUGCCAGGAUGAAAAGAAAACAACCACUUCUGCCUGAACAAUAGCAGUGUGGAACAAAAAGCCACUGUAAGAGGGGUUUUUCGGCAUCACUCAAAACUAGCCAAGCUUUGAAAGAUGAAACUCGCAGUCAAAAAAAAAAAAAAAAAAGAAAAAGGUUCCUAGUGAACAAGUGAACAGAAAGGGCUUUGACAGUUUACUUUAAAAAGCCAGAUUAAAGCAAAAUGAUGUUAUAUAAAUACGUGGGCAUGCUGGAGCUUGCAUGCAGUACAGCACUCCAUCUCCAUCUCUGCCACUGCCCUGGCCAGACCCAGGGCUGGGUUUGUCACCUGCUGCUGCCUGUGGCACAGCCCCGCAGGUAAAGCCAGCUGCAAGUAAAGGAGCCGUGCAGUCCCUGUGCCCGCGGCUACGGGCCCUGUGGGGAAGUGUUAUUGCCUCAUGAUGGAGCCAGAAAGCAACCUCGGGGGAUGCAGAUCCUCUCCUUCCUGAGGCCAUGAAGCUAUGGGUGCAGAGCCAGCUAGGAAAAACACCCUCUCGCUGCCAGCUGUGUGAGAC
Chiroxiphia lanceolata (lance-tailed manakin) is the source of this 2308-nucleotide long non-coding RNA. RefSeq lists it as uncharacterized. The record is from RefSeq and is a predicted model, not a curated record. Lineage: Eukaryota; Metazoa; Chordata; Aves; Passeriformes; Pipridae. The transcript is spliced from 4 exons.